GGAGGUAGUGACAAUAAAUCACAAUGCGGGACUAUUUAGUUUUGCAAUUGAAUUGAGAACAAUGUACAAGAGUUAUCGAUAAACAAUUGGAGGGCAAGUCUGGUGCCAGCAGCCGCGGUAAUUCCAGCUCCAAUAGCGUAUAUUAACGUUGUUGCAGUUAAAAAGCUCGUAGUUGAAGUGUGGGAUAAUGUAUAUUGGAUCUUUUAGUGAAGAUAUAUGUUGUCCCCACUCCAAUUUCGGUCUGUGGGUAUUAAUUUACUUGCAGUUCGUGUUGGUCAUUUACUGUGAGAAAAUUAGAGUGUUCAAAGCAGGCAUUUGCUUGAAUAUAUUAGCAUGGAAUAAUAUUAAAAGGCUUGUAUGGUCGAUUUAAUUGGUUUGUUCAUAUAAGCAAGAUUAAUAGGGACAGUUGGGGGUAUUCAUAUUCAAUAGUUAGAGGUGAAAUUCUCGGAUUUAUGGAAGAUGAACAAGUGCGAAAGCA
RNAcentral lists this ribosomal RNA (478 nucleotides) under Blastocystis sp. Its description in RNAcentral is "SSU rRNA". It matches the Rfam family "Eukaryotic small subunit ribosomal RNA", at positions 460 to 953 of the family's 1831-position model. Lineage: Eukaryota; Bigyra; Opalinata; Blastocystidae. The record is from RNAcentral.